UGCAGUCGACGGUAACAUAAAGUGCUUGCACUUUGAUGACGAGUGGCGCACGGGUGCGUAACGCGUAUAGAACCUACCCUGUACAGGGGGAUAGCCCAGAGAAAUUUGGAUUAAUACCCCGUAGUAACUUGAUAUGGCAUCAUAUUAAGUUUAAAGUUUUCGGACGGUACAGGAUGGCUAUGCGUCCUAUUAGUUAGAUGGUGAGGUAACGGCUCACCAUGGCAGCGAUAGGUAGGGGCCCUGAGAGGGGGAUCCCCCACACUGGUACUGAGACACGGACCAGACUCCUACGGGAGGCAGCAGUGAGGAAUAUUGGACAAUGGGCUAAAGCCUGAUCCAGCCAUGCCGCGUGCAGGAAGACGGCCCUAUGGGUUGUAAACUGCUUUUAUACGGGAAGAAUAAGGGACACGUGUGUCCUGGUGACGGUACCGUACGAAUAAGGACCGGCUAACUCCGUGCCAGCAGCCGCGGUAAUACGGAGGGUCCGAGCGUUAUCCGGAUUCAUUGGGUUUAAAGGGUGCGCAGGCGGAACUUUAAGUCAGUGGUGAAAUCUUGCCGCUUAACGGUAAAAUUGCCAUUGAUACUGAAGUUCUUGAAUAUGGUUGAGGUAGGCGGAAUGUGUUGUGUAGCGGUGAAAUGCAUAGAUAUGACACAGAACGCCGAUUGCGAAGGCAGCUUACUAAGCCAUAAUUGACGCUGAGGCACGAAAGCGUGGGGAGCGAACAGGAUUAGAUACCCUGGUAGUCCACGCCGUAAACGAUGUUCACUCGCUGUCUGCGAUACACAGUAGCGGCUUAGCGAAAGCAUUAAGUGAACCACCUGGGGAGUACGAUCGCAGGUUGAAACUCAAAGGAAUUGACGGGGGUCGCACAGCGGAGGACAUGUGGUUUAGUCGAUGAUUGCAGUCGACUGCAGUCGACUGCAGUCGACUGCAGUCGACUGCAGUCGAC
RNAcentral lists this ribosomal RNA (950 nucleotides) under uncultured Flavobacteriaceae bacterium. RNAcentral describes it as "bacterial SSU rRNA". It matches the Rfam family "Bacterial small subunit ribosomal RNA", at positions 56 to 1035 of the family's 1533-position model. The record is from RNAcentral. Lineage: Bacteria; Pseudomonadati; Bacteroidota; Flavobacteriia; Flavobacteriales; Flavobacteriaceae.